Molecule: transfer RNA, 67 nt
Filed under: Marmota monax (woodchuck)
Lineage: Eukaryota; Metazoa; Chordata; Mammalia; Rodentia; Sciuridae
Description: tRNA.Ala
Source: RNAcentral
GCCAAGGCUCAAGUGGUAGAGCACUCGCCUAGCAAGUGCGAGGCCCUAGGUUCAAUCCUCAGAGACA